Suricata suricatta (meerkat) is the source of this 474-nucleotide long non-coding RNA. RefSeq lists it as uncharacterized. The transcript has 2 exons. The record is from RefSeq and is a predicted model, not a curated record. NCBI's taxonomy places the organism in Eukaryota, Metazoa, Chordata, Mammalia, Carnivora, Herpestidae.
GGACUUAGUCUAAGAUCUAACUGUAGAUCAGAGUCAUCCCUGGUCCUCCUUCUAUUACAAUGACCGAGAAUUUCAACCAUCAUCCAAAUAAUGGGGAAUAAGCACUCUCAGGCAUAGUGGACUUACCUGAAAUGGAUAUUUAUAGUGGCACGGGAUACUAAUGUCACUUUUCACAAUCUCGACACAUUUGAUUCGGGAGAGUUCAAUGGAGCCUUUCAAUGUGCGCUUCUUCUGUGGAGGGAGAAAAGCACAUUCCAUUUAAAGAAGAGAGAAGACCAUAUUUUUGUCCAGAAUGUGGAUAUGAUUGUUGGAGCUGAAGCAGCUAUUUUAUAUCAUGAGGGAAAAACUGCAUGUUGAAGAAUGGAAUGUAAAAUAGAAAAAGCUGUAGGUCCUAAUGACUUUGGACUCUCCAUGGCAGUCUGGCAUCACCUUUUUCUUCUUUAACAUAAAGAGAAAUAAAAUUACAUUUUCCAA